UUAAAGUUAGGAUCGUGCUUUCAAUUAUGUAGGAUGAAAUAUCUUUUUGUAUACAGAUUCAGUUAUUUAUAAUGACUAAAAUUCAAAACCUUUUAAGUUCAAAAGUCAUGCAUAUAAGUUUUUACUUUAAAAUUAUUUAGUUAUCAACUCAAAUUUAUCGAUUUGUUUUAUCAUAAGCCUUUUUAGAUGAUUUUCAAUAAUCUCUAUCUCUAAUAAAAAAAGACUCUUAAACCAGCCACAUGUCCUCUUUUAAACACAAUCUCAUGCCACGUGUCAUAUUCUCCUAUGCCCUUGACUCUAUUUCCUGCUUUUUUCUUCAUCCAAAAACAUUGCUGAAAAUCAAUUUUUAAAUCGGAAACUAUUCUGAUUUCAAUAAAUUAGCAAUAUUCUAGGCAAUAAAUCAGCAAACGUAAUCUUUUCAAAAAAUUUAAACUGAUGACCCAAUUACUCCCCUUCUUAUAUGCUUCGGUAAUUUGUGAUUUGAACAUUCGUCUGCACUCGGUUUCUAGCAGCCUACAUGCUUUUAACUUUUGCAUCGAUUUUAAUAUUUAUCCUUCUAUGAGAUUUGAAGAUUCAUACCAUCAGUGAGUUUGCAGGUCCUCCUUAGUUGAAUAUCAUCGAUGUUACUAGAUUUUGAAGGCGUGUGGAAAGGGGUGAAGUGAGUAUAUUGUCAAACAACAAAAGAUUAAAGGAUAUUGUUCAAAAGUCCAUGACACUAAACGUUUUGGUAUCCGAUUUGCGUUCUCUUUAAUAUACUAUGUUGGUUAGGGGUAAAAUUAUCAAAAUUGACAUCAACACUCUAAAGGGAUAAGCAAUAAAGCCCUUUGUUCUUCUUCUAACAUUUUCCUCUUUCUCUUUUAAUUAAGACUCAUUUUUCCUCUCUUUUGAGAUGAUAUUGAAGAAAGGAAACUUUUUCAUUUUUUAUUCUUUUCAGAUGAUGUUGGAAGUUGUUUAAAAUUGUUGAGAAUUUGUAUUGAAAGACGUUAGUUUAUAUUAUAUUAUUUAAAUUGUGUU
This is a long non-coding RNA of Lactuca sativa (garden lettuce), 1014 nucleotides long. RefSeq lists it as uncharacterized. Lineage: Eukaryota; Viridiplantae; Streptophyta; Magnoliopsida; Asterales; Asteraceae. The record is from RefSeq and is a predicted model, not a curated record.